RNAcentral lists this ribosomal RNA (919 nucleotides) under Rhodococcus sp. (in: high G+C Gram-positive bacteria). Its description in RNAcentral is "bacterial SSU rRNA". It matches the Rfam family "Bacterial small subunit ribosomal RNA", at positions 1 to 890 of the family's 1533-position model. The record is from RNAcentral. Lineage: Bacteria; Bacillati; Actinomycetota; Actinomycetes; Mycobacteriales; Nocardiaceae.
AAUUUUUUCCCCUUUUUUUUAAAAGUUAAUUUUUGGAAGGCCUUAUAUAGAUUUUUUCCCCUCUGCUCAGGACGAACGCCGGGCGGCGUGCUUAAACACAUGCAAGUCGAGCGGUAAGGCCCUUUCGGGGUACACGAGCGGCGAACGGGUGAGUAACACGUGGGUGAUCUGCCCUGCACUUCGGGAUAAGCCUGGGAAACUGGGUCUAAUACCGGAUAUGACCUCCUAUCGCAUGGUGGGUGGUGGAAAGAUUUAUCGGUGCAGGAUGGGCCCGCGGCCUAUCAGCUUGUUGGUGGGGUAAUGGCCUACCAAGGCGACGACGGGUAGCCGACCUGAGAGGGUGACCGGCCACACUGGGACUGAGACACGGCCCAGACUCCUACGGGAGGCAGCAGUGGGGAAUAUUGCACAAUGGGCGAAAGCCUGAUGCAGCGACGCCGCGUGAGGGAUGACGGCCUUCGGGUUGUAAACCUCUUUCAGCAGGGACGAAGCGCAAGUGACGGUACCUGCAGAAGAAGCACCGGCUAACUACGUGCCAGCAGCCGCGGUAAUACGUAGGGUGCAAGCGUUGUCCGGAAUUACUGGGCGUAAAGAGUUCGUAGGCGGUUUGUCGCGUCGUUUGUGAAAACCAGCAGCUCAACUGCUGGCUUGCAGGCGAUACGGGCAGACUUGAGUACUGCAGGGGAGACUGGAAUUCCUGGUGUAGCGGUGAAAUGCGCAGAUAUCAGGAGGAACACCGGUGGCGAAGGCGGGUCUCUGGGCAGUAACUGACGCUGAGGAACGAAAGCGUGGGUAGCGAACAGGAUUAGAUACCCUGGUAGUCCACGCCGUAAACGGUGGGCGCUAGGUGUGGGUUCCUUCCACGGAAUCCGUGCCGUAGCUAACGCAUUAAGCGCCCUCGCCUGGAGACCCGAACGGA